Molecule: long non-coding RNA, 364 nt
Organism: Sapajus apella (tufted capuchin)
Lineage: Eukaryota; Metazoa; Chordata; Mammalia; Primates; Cebidae
Exons: 2
Source: RefSeq, a predicted model, not a curated record
CUGAACAACCUGCUCCUGAAUGACUACUGGGUAAAUAACGAAAUUAAAGCUGAAAUAAAUAAUUCUGUGAAACUAAUGAGAAGAAAGAUACAAUGUACUAGAAUCUCUGGGACACAGCUAAGGCAGUGUUAAGAGGGAAACUUACAGCACUAAAAUGCCCACAUCAAAAAGCUGGAAGGAUCUCAAGUUAAUGAUCUAACAACUAAAAGAAAUAAAGAACCAGGAAGAAACAAAUCCCAAAGCUAGAAGUCAAGAAACAGGUAAAAUCAGAGCUUAACUGAAGCAUAUAGAGACAUGAAAAGAUUCAUUCAAAAGAUCAACGAAUCAAGAAGCCAGUUUUUUGAAAAGAUAAAAUAGGCCACUA